Molecule: RNA transcript, 1951 nt
Organism: Olea europaea var. sylvestris
Lineage: Eukaryota; Viridiplantae; Streptophyta; Magnoliopsida; Lamiales; Oleaceae
Gene name: putative BPI/LBP family protein At1g04970
Exons: 6
Source: RefSeq, a predicted model, not a curated record
CAAUUUACCGUGAGAUUGUCGACACCUUGAUUGUCUUGGCUGCUAAAUUUGCGAAAACGCCAGCUUACACCAUUCUCGAAGCUCAUACCAUAAGCACGUACUCACCCCUUCGAAUUUCUCCUUUCUUCCAAAUAUGUAAUUGACACUCCAGUUUAGUUAAAUCCCGUUUUUCUCAGCUGGGAUUUUUUUUCAUGGCAAGAUUAUUUUUCAUUUUUGGAAUAAUUUUCUUAUUUAUUUUUUGCUAUACGCCUGUUCGAUCAAAUGAUCAAGAAGGGCACAUUACGGUAGACAUAUCGAAUAAGGGUCUUGAUUUUCUCAAGGAUUUGUUAAUAGAAAAGGCAGAGUCGUCGUUGCUUCCACUUUACUUGCCCAAGAUUGAGAAUGCCGUGACAAUCCCAAUCAUGGGUAAAGUUCAUAUGGUUCUUUCGAAUAUUACUGUGGAUAGGAUUGAUGUGAUUUCUUCGAAUGUGAGAACUAGUGAUAAUGGUAUACAUAUAGCUGUUUCUGGGGCCACCGCGAAUUUGAGUAUGAAUUGGAAGUAUUCAUACAGCACUUCGUUGGUUCCUAUUGCUGUUUCGGAUCAAGGAAGUGCCACGAUUGGGGUUGAAAGUAUGGAAAUUGGGCUUAUCCUCAGUCUGAAGAAUCUACAAGGAUCUUUUAAGCUGUCUGUUCUGGAAUGUGGAUGUAAUGUGAAAGAUAUAUUGAUAAAGUUGGAUGGUGGAGCAUCCUGGCUAUAUCGAGGGUUGGUGAAUGCCUUUGAGGGUACAAUUAUUUCUGCAGUUGAAAAUGCUGUUUCCAAGAAAAUAAAUGAUAAAAUCAUAAAGCUUGAUUCUGUAUUGCAGUCUCUUCCUAAAGAAGUUCCGAUAACUAGUAUUGCUGCCUUGAAUAUUACAUUUCUUGAUGACCCGAAGUUGAGUGAAUCAUCACUUGACCUUGAAAUAGAUGGGUUAUUAUCUGCCAAGGAUGAAACUCUAGUUUCCAACCACUAUAAUAAAACUUUACAACCUUCAUUCUCCUGCAAGGAAGUGGAUAAGAUGGUCGGGGUCUCAUUGCAUGAAGAUGUUCUUAAAUCAGCAUCAACUGUCUACUUUGAAGCAAAGAAGAUGAAUUGGAUCGUUGAAUAUGCAUCAGAUCGGUAUCUCUUGAACACAUCAGUUUGGAGGUUCAUUGUUCUGCAGUUGUACAAGCUCUAUCCAGAUGAUGACAUUAACCUGAAUAUUUCUGUUUCUUCGCUGCCAACUAUAAAAUUUGGAAAGCAGCAGAUUGAUGCAACAAUUCCUUUGGAUAUGGUGAUUGAUGUUUCAGAUGCAGGUGAAAUAAUACCAGUUGCAGGCAUUUCAAUGGUACGUUUAGUGAAAUGUCUGUGGUCAUUAGUGCUUCAAUAUUUGCUGAAAUUUUGGGGAACACUGUGAUCGGUAGUGUAAAAUUAAAUGACUUUAGUAUGUCUCUUGAUUGGAGCAAAAUUGGUGAUUUGCACAUUCGUCAAGUUCAGUUAGUGAUAUCCACUGUGCUGAAGACUGUAAUCUUGCCAUACGUGAAUGGACAACUCAGCAAAGGACAUUCGUUGCCUGUGUUUCAUGGUUACAAGCUUCAGGAUACUCAAAUCGUUUGUGUAGAUUCCUGGAUUGUGUUCUGCAGUGAUGUGGUCUCCGCCAAAAAAUUCAGUCUCGCCUAGUCCCUGCAUCUUGGAAGGGCAGUUUGGUCCAAGAAACUAUCACAGUGCUAGACACGAGGAAUUAAGAUCAAAUGAACUUCGGAGGCUUGUUUGCGACUUUCUUGUUGCCCCAGUUGUAGCCAAGUACAAUGUGUAGUCAUGGAUACAAUAUGCACAAUUGCAGCGUACGUCUACGUUCGAUAAACUCUCGCAAAAUGUAGCAUAUCACAAAAGAGAUUGAGUUUGUUGUUUAUGGUAAUUCAAACUAAGGAAGCAAUAAAAAGUUGUUUGAUCAAA